This 495-nucleotide ribosomal RNA is filed under the name uncultured bacterium. RNAcentral's name for it is "partial 16S ribosomal RNA". It matches the Rfam family "Bacterial small subunit ribosomal RNA", at positions 28 to 505 of the family's 1533-position model. The record is from RNAcentral.
GAUGAACGCUGGCGGCGUGCCUAAUACAUGCAAGUCGAACGCAUAGCGAAAGGUGCUUGCCCCUUUCAAGUGAGUGGCGAACGGGUGAGUAACACGUGGACAACCUGCCUCAAGGCUGGGGAUAACAUUUGGAAACAGAUGCUAAUACCGAAUAAAACUUAGUGUCGCAUGACACAAAGUUAAAAGGCGCUUCGGCGUCACCUAGAGAUGGAUCCGCGGUGCAUUAGUUAGUUGGUGGGGUAAAGGCCUACCAAGACAAUGAUGCAUAGCCGAGUUGAGAGACUGAUCGGCCACAUUGGGACUGAGACCCGGCCCAAACUCCUACGGGAGGCUGCAGUAGGGAAUCUUCCACAAUGGGCGAAAGCCUGAUGGAGCAACGCCGCGUGUGUGAUGAAGGCUUUCGGGUCGUAAAGCACUGUUGUAUGGGAAGAACAGCUAGAAUAGGAAAUGAUUUUAGUGUGACGGUACCAUACCAGAAGGGGACGGCUAAAUACG